AGUGAACGCUGGCGGUAGGCCUAACACAUGCAAGUCGAACGGCAGCACAGUAAGAGCUUGCUCUUACGGGUGGCGAGUGGCGGACGGGUGAGGAAUACAUCGGAAUCUACUUUUUCGUGGGGGAUAACGUAGGGAAACUUACGCUAAUACCGCAUACGACCUACGGGUGAAAGCAGGGGAUCUUCGGACCUUGCGCGAUUGAAUGAGCCGAUGUCGGAUUAGCUAGUUGGCGGGGUAAAGGCCCACCAAGGCGACGAUCCGUAGCUGGUCUGAGAGGAUGGUCGGACACACUGGAAGUGAGAAACGGUCCAGACUCCUACGGGAAGCAGCAGUGGGGAAUAUUGGACAAUGGGAGCAAGCCUGAUCCAGCCAUACCGCGUGGGUGAAGAAGGCCUUCGGGUUGUAAAGCCCUUUUGUUGGGAAAGAAAAGCAGCAGGUUAAUACCCCGCUGUUCUGACGGUACCCAAAGAAUAAGCACCGGCUAACUUCGUG
RNAcentral lists this ribosomal RNA (492 nucleotides) under uncultured bacterium. RNAcentral describes it as "partial 16S ribosomal RNA". It matches the Rfam family "Bacterial small subunit ribosomal RNA", at positions 29 to 507 of the family's 1533-position model. The record is from RNAcentral.